GUAUAAAACAUGGGGUUCCAGUGGGCAAAAGCAGCAGGAAAAGCCAGCAAGAACACAGGGCUCCAUGAAUUUCAUGUUUGGAAGAACAGGAAUCUUCAAGGCCAGGUUGGACGGGAUGUGGAGCACCCUGGGACAGCAGAAGGUGUCCCUGGCCAUGGCAGGGCUGGAAUUUGGAUGAGCUUCAAGGUCCCUUCAGCCCAAACCAACCUGAGACACCGUGACCCCUGUGCUGCUCUGAGCCUCAGAGGAAAGAGCUCUGGGACAUAAAGGGAUGAUGGAUAAACAGGAAAAGGUUUUGGGUUUGUCUUCUCCACUCCUUCAGCCUCAUCCUCCCUCCAGGAGCCCUUUCUCCAGCUCCAGAUGCCCCAAAUGCAGAACCUCAGGGCAUGUCCUUGCCAGCAGUGCCCACAUCCCCUCCCAAGAGAGGGCUGAUCUGGGAACUCAUCCCACAAGCUCAAUAAUGAGUGGAAACUGAGACCUCAACCUGUGCUUUCUUUGUUUGUGAUCCUCCCUGGUCAGAGAGCAGAAAAUCAUAAUUUAUAGUGGCAAUUGUCAGCAUUUGUAACCAAGUUCUUGGCUAAAAUACUGGAAAUAUGAUUAAAAAAAUUAAAAAUGGCAGAUGGUGUCAUUCUGCUAAACAUAUUUUGCUGAUGCCUGUUGAUUUAGAAGUGCUCAAAAUGAUUUUAACAGGAGUUUUAUUGUGCAAGGACUUCAAUUUCCAACAUUUCUUGCUAAUGAGCAGCAUCAAUAAUCAAACUCAUCAAUCCCCUUGAAUCCCAAAGUGUCUUCAGUAGGAAUGCGGGGGAGGAAGCCUCAAUCAUGUCUGGGAUCUCUGUGAAGCAAUUCAAACUUCACAGUUGUUCAGGAGCAAAGUCUUAAACUUCUGCCUUAACUUUUAUUUAAAAGUGGUUCUGGCCUGGUAAAAAAAAAAAAAAUACAAACCAGCACAAUGUUAAUGUGAAGAUCUUGCAUGAAAAUACAGUUAAGAACUGUAUUUAAAACCAGAUUAUCAAAGCUUCAAUUCGUCAUUAAUUUUGGUAUUUGCAGCCAUUUUUUAAGACCAUUUGGUCUGAUUUAUAAUAUUUCUCGAGUUCAGUAGCAGAAGGGCUGGUGUCCUUUUCUUGAGUUGGUUUUUCCCCCUUACAUCCCAUUAACAUUAACAAUCACUCUCCUGCUCUUGGAAGUAGAUAUAUUUUUUUUAAGAUAACAACACAACUGAGGGUCUGUACUUGUGUUUCUCAGCAGGAAUUUAGACCAGCAAGCACUCAGGUUGUUUUAUCUCUGGUGACCACUCACUUGCAUUAAAUGAACUGCCCUGUAGAGUAAAGAAAUUCACAUUAUUUUUUCUAAAAUGCCUGGUGCUGAGCAUUGAAAAGCCUUUUGAUGGCACAUCACACACAGGCUUCACUCCUGGGGUUUUAAUUGCCUAAAAGCCAGCAAGCGUCGUGUCCUAAACUUGGUCUCUUUUUCUUCUGUGUUCUCAGUUGAUUUAAUUUUCCAAAAGUAAAGUAUUUCCAAAAGUAUUGCUGUCCUGGAUAUCCUUGGCCUCCUGACUCCUUGAAGUACAUGUAAAAAUAAUCAAACAAAUAAAAUCUUCCUGGAAACCUUCUUGUGUUGCUUU
This 1621-nucleotide long non-coding RNA is filed under the name Cyanistes caeruleus (blue tit). Its description in RNAcentral is "lncRNA (ENSCCEG00000007798.1)". Lineage: Eukaryota; Metazoa; Chordata; Aves; Passeriformes; Paridae. The record is from RNAcentral.